GUAAUGUCUGGGAAACUGCCUGAUGGAGGGGGAUAACUACUGGAAACGGUGGCUAAUACCGCAUAACGUCGCAAGACCAAAGAGGGGGACCUUCGGGCCUCUUGCCAUCAGAUGUGCCCAGAUGGGAUUAGCUUGUUGGUGAGGUAACGGCUCACCAAGGCGACGAUCCCUAGCUGGUCUGAGAGGAUGACCAGCCACACUGGAACUGAGACACGGUCCAGACUCCUACGGGAGGCAGCAGUGGGGAAUAUUGCACAAUGGGCGCAAGCCUGAUGCAGCCAUGCCGCGUGUAUGAAGAAGGCCUUCGGGUUGUAAAGUACUUUCAGCGGGGAGGAAGGUGUUGUGGUUAAUAACCGCAGCAAUUGACGUUACCCGCAGAAGAAGCACCGGCUAACUCCGUGCCAGCAGCCGCGGUAAUACGGAGGGUGCAAGCGUUAAUCGGAAUUACUGGGCGUAAAGCGCACGCAGGCGGUCUGUCAAGUCGGAUGUGAAAUCCCCGGGCUCAACCUGGGAACUGCAUUCGAAACUGGCAGGCUUGAGUCUUGUAGAGGGGGGUAGAAUUCCAGGUGUAGCGGUGAAAUGCGUAGAGAUCUGGAGGAAUACCGGUGGCGAAGGCGGCCCCCUGGACAAAGACUGACGCUCAGGUGCGAAAGCGUGGGGAGCAAACAGGAUUAGAUACCCUGGUAGUCCACGCCGUAAACGAUGUCUACUUGGAGGUUGUGCCCUUGAGGCGUGGCUUCCGGAGCUAACGCGUUAAGUAGACCGCCUGGGGAGUACGGCCGCAAGGUUAAAACUCAAAUGAAUUGACGGGGGCCCGCACAAGCGGUGGAGCAUGUGGUUUAAUUCGAUGCAACGCGAAGAACCUUACCUGGUCUUGACAUCCACAGAACUUUCCAGAGAUGGAUUGGUGCCUUCGGGAACUGUGAGACAGGUGCUGCAUGGCUGUCGUCAGCUCGUGUUGUGAAAUGUUGGGUUAAGUCCCGCAACGAGCGCAAC
Molecule: ribosomal RNA, 996 nt
Filed under: Salmonella enterica
Lineage: Bacteria; Pseudomonadati; Pseudomonadota; Gammaproteobacteria; Enterobacterales; Enterobacteriaceae
Also listed under: 3 other names
Description: bacterial SSU rRNA
Rfam family: Bacterial small subunit ribosomal RNA
Source: RNAcentral